Molecule: ribosomal RNA, 1677 nt
Filed under: human gut metagenome
Description: bacterial LSU rRNA
Rfam family: Bacterial large subunit ribosomal RNA
Source: RNAcentral
CCAAUCGAACUCGGAGAUAGCUGGUUCUCCCCGAAAUAGCUUUAGGGCUAGCCUCGAUUUAGAUUACCGGGGGUAGAGCACUGAAUGGGCUAGGGGGCCACAAAGCUUACCGAACCCUAUCAAACUUCGAAUACCGGAUAAUUGAUGAACGGGAGUCAGACGGCGGGAGAUAAGUUUCGUCGUCAAAAGGGAAACAGCCCAGAUCUACGACUAAGGUCCCGAAAUCACAGUUAAGUGGAAAAGGAUGUGCAGUUGCACAGACAACCAGGAUGUUGGCUUAGAAGCAGCCACUCAUUUAAAGAGUGCGUAAUAGCUCACUGGUCGAGUGAUUGUGCGCCGAAAAUGUACCGGGGCUAAACUGUGUACCGAAGUCUAGGGAUCGUGAUAAACGAUCGGUAGGGGAGCAACGUGUGCGGGCUGAAGCCGAAGCGGAAGCGACGGUGGACUGCACGGGAGAGAGAAUGCCGGCAUGAGUAGCGAGAGCAAAGUGAGAAUCUUUGCCGUCGAAAGCCUAAGGUUUCCUGAGGAAGGCUCGUCCUCUCAGGGUAAGUCAGGACCUAAGCCGAGGACAAAAGUCGUAGGCGAUGGACAACUGGUUGAUAUUCCAGUACCACCUUUAGCGUUUGACUGAAGCAGUGACACAGAAGGAUAGACAGAGCGCGUGACUGGUAGAGCGCGUCCAAGCGAUGAGGGAGUUAAGUAGUGAAGAACGCUUAACAAUCCUGGGUCGUGAUGGGGACUGAAAAUAAGUAGGGAAGCUGUUGAAUUCACGCUGGCGAGAAAAGCUGCUAAGGAGCGAAAGGGUGCCUGUACCGCAAACCGACACAGGUAGGCGAGGAGAGAAUCCUAAGACGAGCGGGAGAACCCUUGUUAAGGAACUCGGCAAAAUGACCCCGUAACUUCGGGAUAAGGGGAGCCUCGGAAGAGGCCGCAGAGAAUAGGCCCAAGCGACUGUUUAGCAAAAACACAGGUCUGUGCGAAGUAGAGAUACGACGUAUACGGGCUGACGCCUGCCCAGUGCCGGAAGGUUAAGGGGAAGUGUUAGGGCAACCGAAGCACGGAACUUAAGCCCCGGUGAACGGCGGCCGUAACUAUAACGGUCCUAAGGUAGCGAAAUUCCUUGUCGGGUAAGUUCCGACCCGCACGAAUGGCGUAACGACUUGGGCACUGUCUCAACAAGGGACCCGGCGAAAUUGUAGUAUGUGUGAAGAUGCACAUUACCCGCGAUAGGACGGAAAGACCCCGUAGAGCUUUACUGUAGUUUAACAUUGGAUUUCGGUAACAUAUGUACAGGAUAGGUGGGAGGCGAAGAACCAGGGACGCCAGUUUCUGGGGAGCCGAUCUUGGGAUACCACUCUUGUGUUAUUGGAGUUCUAACGAAUUGCCGUGAACCGGGAUUCGGACAGUGUUAGAUGGGCAGUUUGACUGGGGCGGUCGCCUCCCAAAGAGUAACGGAGGCGUCCAAAGGUUCCCUCAGAAUGGUUGGAAACCAUUCGCAGAGUGCAAAGGCAGAAGGGGGCCUGACUGCGAGACCGACAGGUCGAGCAGGUACGAAAGUAGGGCUUAGUGAUCCGGCGGUAUGAGAGUGGAAUUGCCGUCGCUCAACGGAUAAAAGCUACCUCGGGGAUAACAGGCUUAUCUCCCCCAAGAGUCCACAUCGACGGGGAGGUUUGGCAC